This 401-nucleotide ribosomal RNA is filed under the name uncultured bacterium. RNAcentral's name for it is "bacterial SSU rRNA". It matches the Rfam family "Bacterial small subunit ribosomal RNA", at positions 356 to 773 of the family's 1533-position model. The record is from RNAcentral.
GGGGAAUAUUGGACAAUGGGCGCAAGCCUGAUCCAGCCAUGCCGCGUGAGUGAUGAAGGCCUUAGGGUUGUAAAGCUCUUUUAGCAGGGACGAUAAUGACGGUACCUGCAGAAAAAGCCCCGGCCAACUUCGUGCCAGCAGCCGCGGUAAUACGAAGGGGGCUAGCGUUGCUCGGAAUCACUGGGCGUAAAGCGCACGUAGGUGGGUCGUUAAGUCAGGGGUGAAAUCCCGGAGCUCAACUCCGGAACUGCCUUUGAUACUGGCGACCUUCGAGUCCGGGAGAGGUGAGUGGAAUUGCGAGUGUAGAGGUGAAAUUCGUAGAUAUUCGCAAGAACACCAGUGGCGAAGGCGGCUCACUGGCCCGGUACUGACACUGAGGUGCGAAAGCGUGGGGAGCAAAC